GCACUGCUGACGAGUCCCGCACUAGGACGAAACGGCCGUCCAGUGC
Non-coding RNA from Schistosoma curassoni, 46 nucleotides. The record is from Rfam. NCBI's taxonomy places the organism in Eukaryota, Metazoa, Platyhelminthes, Trematoda, Strigeidida, Schistosomatidae.